GGGCAAUUUGCUAGGGUAGUUUGGAAUGACAGUCCAUUUCAUCCUAAUUUGAAUGCUUAUAUAAAUGUCCUCUUAAAGUGCAUUCAAUCAAAUUUUGGUAGGGCAAUUUGGCUAGGGACUAAAUUGAAGGCAAACAAAAAUUUAGGGGAAAAAAGAGUGAAUUUAAAGAUAAAAUGGGCUAAGAUGCGAAGUAGGAGAGAAAUGGUGCCAGAAAUGCAAAGUAUGGAAGACUUGGACGGCGAUAGUGCAAAGAAGAGAUUUUAUAAAAAUAAGACUCUAUUUAAUUUUUAAUUAUAUUAGGAAAAUUAUUAAAGAUUAUUAUUUAGAUUUAAUGUUAGCAUUUAUCUUUAAUUAUUUGUAUUUAUAUUUUAGAAUUUAAGUAGGAAUAAAUAGGGGAUGGAUUGUCACAAAUUUGAUCUAUAUCUUUUCUGUAAACACUCCCUCUCCCAAAAAGUUUAGCCUUUUGUUCUUUCCAUAUAUUUUCAUUAUGUUUAUUUUUUUUCGCCAAAAA
This is a long non-coding RNA of Gossypium arboreum, 511 nucleotides long. RefSeq lists it as uncharacterized. The transcript has 2 exons. NCBI's taxonomy places the organism in Eukaryota, Viridiplantae, Streptophyta, Magnoliopsida, Malvales, Malvaceae. The record is from RefSeq and is a predicted model, not a curated record.